AAAACAACAGAUAAUUCAGCUCUAUCUUAUAUAUUCUCUACUGUUCAUGCAUAUUCACAACUCCAAAAUUCAAGACAUUUAAACACUGACUGCCACUGUGAUUUAUUUGCCUUAAAACCUUAUAAAGCAUGGAUGGCUGUGAUAAUCUGCUUUUCUGAGAAUUUUUUAAUUUUUAAAUUUGUACAGCCCUUACAGUUUUUCUGCAAUAAUUUAUUCAGGAGCAUCACAGAGUGGAAUGAAUACACAUAAGUAUGCAUUGAUCAGUCCUUAAUCCUCAGAGAGAAGAAGACAUGAGUAGAUUAUGGGAGUUUAGUACCAACAUUUUUUUUUUUUUUUUUUUUUUUUUUUUUUUUUACCANAAUGAGCAGUGCUGGAUGGCAGUUGGCAGGAGGCAGAGUCACCCUGAAUGAAUUUACGGACCAUGGCGAUUUUGCACCAAUUUCCAGCUCUGGAUUCAGCGUAAAUACUCAGCCACUGCCAAGACUUAGCAUUCAGGGUGUGUCUUAAGCAUGAUCCUGAUGAUGUUGGAACAAACGAGUAAGAAUACGUACAAAACACAUUAAUUGCGUUGAAAUCCAUGAUCAGAUCAGAUUUUCUUGCCUACCUGACUUGUGGUAAACAAGAUGAUGAGCUUCCAGUUUUGCUCUGGGAUUAUCAGAACCAUCACUUUUUGUCGCCAGUAACAUGUUUUAUGUGGAAUCUAAACUUGGAUGCAACAAAUAAUACGGCUAUAAAAUAUGAAGGCAAAAAAAAUCUGUCUGGAA
This 764-nucleotide long non-coding RNA is filed under the name Vulpes vulpes (red fox). RNAcentral describes it as "lncRNA (ENSVVUG00000007716.1)". The record is from RNAcentral. Lineage: Eukaryota; Metazoa; Chordata; Mammalia; Carnivora; Canidae.